Molecule: ribosomal RNA, 761 nt
Filed under: uncultured Treponema sp.
Lineage: Bacteria; Pseudomonadati; Spirochaetota; Spirochaetia; Treponematales; Treponemataceae
Description: bacterial SSU rRNA
Rfam family: Bacterial small subunit ribosomal RNA
Source: RNAcentral
AACGAACGCUGGCGGCGCGUCUUAAGCAUGCAAGUCGAACGGUAAGGGAGAGCUUGCUCUCCCCUAGAGUGGCGGACUGGUGAGUAACGCGUGGGUGACCUGCCCUGAAGAUGGGGAUAGCUAGUAGAAAUAUUAGAUAAUACCGAAUGUGCUCAUUUACAUAAAGGUGAAUGAGGAAAGGAGCUACGGCUCCGCUUCAGGAUGGGCCCGCGUCCCAUUAGCUAGUUGGUGAGGUAAAGGCCCACCAAGGCAACGAUGGGUAUCCGGCCUGAGAGGGUGAACGGACACAUUGGGACUGAGAUACGGCCCAAACUCCUACGGGAGGCAGCAGCUAAGAAUCUUCCGCAAUGGACGAAAGUCUGACGGAGCGACGCCGUGUGAAUGAAGAAGGCCGAAAGGUUGUAAAAUUCUUUUGCAGAUGAAGAAUAAGAAGAAGAGGGAAUGCUUCUUUGAUGACGGUAGUCAUGCGAAUAAGCCCCGGCUAAUUACGUGCCAGCAGCCGCGGUAACACGUAAGGGGCGAGCGUUGUUCGGAAUUAUUGGGCGUAAAGGGUAUGUAGGCGGUUAGGUAAGCCUGGUGUGAAAUCUACGAGCUCAACUCGUAAACUGCAUUGGGUACUGCUUGACUUGAAUCACGGAGGGGAAACCGGAAUUCCAAGUGUAGGGGUGGAAUCUGUAGAUAUUUGGAAGAACACCGGUGGCGAAGGCGGGUUUCUGGCCGAUGAUUGACGCUGAUAUACGAAGGUGCGGGGAGCAAACAGG